Non-coding RNA from Dipodomys ordii (Ord's kangaroo rat), 65 nucleotides. Lineage: Eukaryota; Metazoa; Chordata; Mammalia; Rodentia; Heteromyidae. The record is from Rfam.
GGUGGCUCAGUGGUAGAGCGCUUGCCUUGCAUGCCACAGGCCCUGGGUUCAAUUCCUCAGCACCA